Molecule: long non-coding RNA, 1904 nt
Filed under: Brassica napus (rape)
Lineage: Eukaryota; Viridiplantae; Streptophyta; Magnoliopsida; Brassicales; Brassicaceae
Description: long non-coding RNA (BNAP_LNC012886)
Source: RNAcentral
GGAGUUCCAUCUAUAUGUACCACUUUGAUGGUGUUCCAAAAAGAAAAAAAGUGUUCCCAAAAAAAAAAUGUACCACUUUGAUGAAUGAUUCAGAACGUGGUAAUAAUAAUGACAAAAACAUGAUGAAAAAUUUACUCUGAGAGACACUUUCUCAUUUUACAAUUAUACCAAUAGACACAAUACACUUGAGACACACUUUUCUAUUGCUGAAUGACCUUAUCACCCUUAGACUAGAAUAUACUUCACUUUUUCGUUCAUCUUCUCCUCUAACUCCCGACAUAUUCAUCCUCUCUCCUAACUAAAUUAAACUUUCCCAAAUGUUCAAACCCUAAACAAAAUCAAGAAAGGAUUGAUGGGUAUGAUGAGACCAAAGCUUAUAAUGAAAUCAAUUUGUUCAUGUAGUUAUGGCUAAAUUAAAAGAGAGCAAAAAUUCAGAAAAGCCCAGAAAACAGAGAGCGAGACAACUCCAUAGAAUGAUAAUUACCCGAUCUACUUCAUCUCCCUCAACAUCGUCGUGAAUGAUUCCGGCUAGAAAAUUGUCGGAGAAGACAAGAGAGUCGGCGAAAGACAAAACGAGUCAGCUCCUCCUCCUCGCACGCCAAUAAGCCACACCAUCUUGUGAAAGUGCGGGGAUUCGAGCUCGGUGAAGCUGCGGUAGUUGAUCUCGUCAUGGAUGAGCUUUCCAUGCUCCGAUGCUGUGGUUCGAGCUCCUCGUCGUGCUUAGCUGCGGUGGUUUGAGCUCUUCGUCGUGCUUAGACUCCACCACUAGAUCUGCCGUCCAAGUCGCCUCCUCGCCAUCCUCGCCAUCCUCGAUCAUCUCAGCGAAGUCUCGUUCAUCAUCUCAGUGAAACUGCAGUGGUUGGAUCUCGGAGUCGCCAUUGAAGAAAGCUCGAUUGCAUCUGCAAUCAAGAAUCAUGCAUUUGCACAUUUGGUCCUUGUAUUUAUGUAAGUAUUUGAGUUUGUCCCCAAACUUUUCAAAUUUUCAGAUUUCUCUUUGAAUUAGUCCAAAACUUUAUAAUUAUACACUCUAGCCUUCUUUUGUGUUUCUCACGUACAAAAAAUGCAAAAUUAAUGUAUUUCUUGUCCAUAUGUUUUAUGUAUUGUAUAAUUUUAAAGUUUUAAUAUUAAAGAUCUACCAAUCUUUAACUAAUUAAAUAAUUUAUGAAGUUUUGAUAUUGUACGAAUUUGUUUUAAUUAAUUAAAUUAAUUAAAUAAUUGUUUUGUGGAAUGUGUACGAAGAAAAUGUGGAUAUGAAUUUUGUUGAUUCAGGAAAUGUGGAUGAAAGAGUUGUGUACAGUAUCAAAUUGAAAAUAUAUCAAAAUUUAUAAUAUAAUAUAUGUACAAAAAAAAAUUUAAAUUUUUUUUGUAUCAAUAUACAUAUUCUUUAUACUUUAAUAUAUUAUUAAUCAUUGUAAAUUAUAAUUUAUUGGUCUUGUGUUUUGUGGACACCGAAAAUGUGGAUAAAUAUUUUGCCGUUCAAAAAUAUGUGGAUGUGAGAAUUGUGUACAUUGUAAUUGUGUCGAAUCUUACAUUUUUAACGUCCACACUUCUAUCUUUUAUGUCUAUGCCUACUUUCACAAAUAGCCAUCCCACAAACAUCUAUGGACAGUCAUACAAACAUGUUCAUAUAUUUUUCUUUUGCACCUUUUCCAUCAGUGUUCAAAUUUUUUACAUCCACAUUGUAUGGUGCAUGUCCACAUAUUUUUAUAUAAAUAUUCAAAUAUUAAAAAAUAUAUCAAAAGUGGAUGUUGUAAUAUAAAGAAAAAAGUUUAUAAUUUAAUGUAAUAAAUAUAAAAAAUUAUAUAUUAACCCACAAACUUAAAUGUCUUGUAGGAUUGAUAAAAGAAAUAUGUCUCAAAAAAACUCAUUUAAAGCACAACAAAGUACAACAGAUUAGAUUCCCG